GAUUUCUGGUUCGGCGCACUUGGCCCGUCUCGGUUUACGGGAUUGCGUGCCGGUGUGCGCCAUCCAUCCUUCGAUGAGAACAUUGCUGCCCUUUAUUGGGUUGGCAGUGCCUCUCUCGAUCUUUUACUUUGAAAAAAUUAGAGUGUCUAAAGCAGGCUUUAUGCUAUGAAUACAUUAGCAUGGAAUAAUAAUUUAGGACUUCGGUUCUAUUUUGUUGGUUUCUAGGACUGAAGUAAUGAUUGAUAGGGAUAGUUGGGGGUGCUAGUAUUCAGCGGCCAGAGGUGAAAUUCUCGGAUUCGCUGAAGACUAACUUAUGCGAAAGCAUU
Molecule: ribosomal RNA, 326 nt
Filed under: uncultured cercomonad
Lineage: Eukaryota; Cercozoa; Cercomonadida; Cercomonadidae
Description: SSU rRNA
Rfam family: Eukaryotic small subunit ribosomal RNA (bases 112-326)
Source: RNAcentral